RNAcentral lists this long non-coding RNA (2597 nucleotides) under Malus domestica (apple). Its description in RNAcentral is "long non-coding RNA (MDOM_LNC014925)". The record is from RNAcentral. Lineage: Eukaryota; Viridiplantae; Streptophyta; Magnoliopsida; Rosales; Rosaceae.
UCGGGAAAGUAAUUUUGGGGUGUGAAUUCAUCUCCGUAAUUCAAAUUCAAGGAUCGUGGUUAACGGGCUUAAUUUAUGGAGGUUGAUCUAUGCUACUAGCCCAAAAUUUGGUGCUAUAACUAUUUUAGAUAUUAUUGUUUUGGGUAGUGCUAUCCACACACCAUUUUUACAUCUCAGACAUCCCUUUCAAUUUUUGGUUGUUAGAACUUAGAUCCAAUGAACUUAGAAAAUAAAUGGCAAAAAAUUAACAAGAGUGUGGGAGGUAAAAAUGGAUGUGUGAAUAGAACUAUCUUAUGGUUUUUUAUUAAAGUAUAUUUUGAAAAACAAUGAAUCCACUAAUCACUUUAUGAUAAGCUCAUAUAUAUAUAUAUAUAUAUAUUACAUCAAAUUCACUUGUCUUUUGUUAGUUAGUUCCUUAUAUUUAUGAGCUAUUUACUUUGUUUUUGUGUUUUGUAGGAAUUGUCUAGCAAAGAAGAGAAAAAUUCAUCGAUCAAAUGUUAGUAAGGUUAGCUGGUCAUUCUCAUUAUUGCUUUCUUGAUGGCUACUCUAGAUAUAAUCAUAUUGAAGUUGCUUUGGAGGAUCAAGAAAAGACGACUUUCACAUGUCCAUUUGACACACUUGCAUAUCGGAGGAUGCUGUUUGGACUUUGCAACGCCCUCGCCACAAUUCAAAGGUGUAUGGUAAGUAUCUUUUCCGAUAUGAUUCAUGAUGGGUGCAUAUUUUCAUAUAUUUUUAUCAUAUACUUCAUUUGGAUUUUGUAUAUAUAAAUGGGUUAAAUGCACUAAUUUAUAUUGUUUUAAUUUAUAGGCAUUAAAUACUGGAGUUAUGCAAAAAUAAAGUGAAAAAUGAGCUUUUUGGGUGUCUAAAGUAAUUCCAGUGGAGCAAGAGGCUAAUUAACUGCACCAAGGCAUAUGCGUUACAACAAAUGCAUGAAACUGCAACGGUUUUGGAAUCAAAUAGAGAUGAAAAUGCUAUUCAAUGGAAUUUAGGAGAGAACUUAAUUAUUAGUUUUAUUAUUUCUAUUUUUUUUUCUUUUCUUUAAAAAGGACUUAAAGGUCCAUUAGAGCUAAGAUUAGUGGUCAUUUAUUUGACCAUUUCUUGGUUGUAUAUAUGGAGAUUGGUUCUCCAUUGUAAAGGAGGAGCCACAAAAAAAAAAAAAAAAAAAAAAAAAAAAAAAAAAAAUUCAUCUAUUCUACAUAAGGGGCUGUGGCAAGGAAGGCCAAGAGGAAGAGCUACUUUGGAGUUUUUCUUUACUAGGGCUACGAUGUAGCCUAAUCAUGAAUACUUAAUUGCCUUGUGGCAUUGUUAUUAUCAUGUUUUUCUUCUUUAUUAAGUAUCUUUUGCUAUUCGUAAUGCGCUUGUUUUUUAUUUAGAUGCUUGAUCACCAUCUAGGUUUAAAUUAGAUUGAUUUGAUGCAAGUUAGAGUAGAUGCCAUACUUAACUUGGGUUUAGCUUCUUGCAAUUGAUACCAUAAACACCUAUUUGUAGAUGCCAUACAAUUAGGGUUUGUGUGAUUUUCCAACGAUUUCCAUAGAGCUUAAUGGGUUCUUACUUGUUUAAAUUCAUCUAGAUGUCAUAGAGGGUUAACAAGUAAGGAUACUUUUGAUGCAACUAGAUGCCAUGGCCAUUGAAUAAUUUAGGGAAAAUCGAUCGUCAAUAUUGGGGAACUAUUUGAGCAUAACAUAUUAAGGGAAUUGAGAAGAAUUGGUUACGGUGAAAUCGGAUGCCCUAGGUUUUAUUUUCUUAUGUUUUUAAUUUUAUAUAUCAUGCAUUUUAUUUUCAAGUCAUAUUUCAUUUUUAGUUUAAUUUCAAAUUUUCUCUCUUUUCCAUUAAAGCUUCUCAAUUACAGUUUGUUUUAAUUUAGUUAGUAAGAUUUUUAGAAUCAAUUUGAUCUCUGUGGGACGAUAUCCGUGCUUAUAUGCUAUAUUGUUAUUUGAUUCGUAUACUUGCGAGCACAAAAAUUCGAGACUUAAUGAGCGUAAUUUCGGUUAUCUAAUUGUUGCAACAAGUUUCUGGCGCCGUUGCCGGGGAUCGAAGUUGAUUCUAUUACUUACUUAAUUGGAUUGUUACAUCUUUUAGUUGGUUUUGCUUUAAUGUUAAUUGUUAGUUUUUUUUUUUUUCAAUAAUAAAUUAUUUCCUAAGUCUCUUGUUUAGUUUACCCAUUGUUUUCUAUUUUUGCAGGAAAAAUGGAGCCACUUUACCUUGUUGCUAAUACAAAAUUCAAGUUUGGAGGUGGAUUCCCUUCUACAUCUUCGUUUGCCCGUCUCCUUUAAACCAGGGAAGUUUCUUUGUCCAAGAGCUUUAUUGAUUAAUUUUUCUUUAUGCACCUUUGUUGUCUAUUUUCUUUACUCUUCUCUUCAUUUUUUUUUUGUCUUCUUUGUUUUAGUUCUAGAAAAAUAAAAAUAAAUAAAUACAUAAAAAAUUAUAAAUUUCUGAAAAAUCCAAAAACAUUUUAUUUUUCUUUGAGUCUUGUUCUUGUUGGCUACUUCCCAAUUCAUAUAGUGAUGAUAUUUGGUCUUAAGUUUUUCAUGACUUUCAAGAGAUUUAAGCUUGACAUUAGUUUUUACAUUAUCUUUGUUUUAACCAUAUUUUUUUAU